RNAcentral lists this ribosomal RNA (359 nucleotides) under uncultured bacterium. RNAcentral's name for it is "partial 16S ribosomal RNA". It matches the Rfam family "Bacterial small subunit ribosomal RNA", at positions 338 to 694 of the family's 1533-position model. The record is from RNAcentral.
CCUACGGGAGGCAGCAGUGAGGAAUAUUGGUCAAUGGCCGCAAGGCUGAACCAGCCAAGUAGCGUGCGGGAAGACUGCCCUAUGGGUUGUAAACUUCUUUUAUGCGGGGAUAAAGGUGUCCACGUGUGGAUGUUUGCAGGUACCGCAUGAAUAAGGACCGGCUAAUUCCGUGCCAGCAGCCGCGGUAAUACGGAGGGUCCGAGCGUUAUCCGGAUUUAUUGGGUUUAAAGGGGGCGUAGGCCGGCCUUUAAGCUUGCCGUGAAAUAUUGAGGCUCAACGUUGGGAGUGCGGCGCAUACUGGAGGGCUAGAGUGUACGGGAGGUAGGCGGAAUGCAUGGUGUAGCGGUGAAAUGCUUAGA